UACCCCUCUUCUCCACUGUCACACAAGCCACCACGUUUCAACCUUCUUCCAUCACCAUCACCGGACCUGCAACUCUACGACAAAAACCCUUAAUCGUGCCACCGUCACCAGAAUCCCCAAAUCAUGUCGUCGUCGUGGCGAGAGUUGCCAUGGUUGUGCGAUUAGGGUUGAUGCAGUUCGCGUUACUUCUGGAGGCGCGGUUUUUUCAUUCGAUCCCUGCGUGAUGGUUAUAUGGUGUUAAAUCUGGUUUUUGCAAGUCUGAUUGUGGUUGCAGGUGGAGGCAAGAAGUGACGCGAUUCUAAUUUAGGGCUUUCGUUCAGUGUUCACACAUGGAGGCUCACAUCGCCCUCUCUAAUCUCUCCCUACCCUCCGACUACGUCGUCGCCAUGGUCCUCCCGUUUCCAAUCUCUACUCCCCCAGGCAUUCUGUAGAUUUUUCUUGAAGAGGCUUUGUUGGUAUUUUGCAGAUUUUUCUAGACUCCUUGGAUGACAAAGAAAAUGGGAAAGAUCAAAUUUUGAAACCUGUGAAGGUUUGAUCACUAGUUGUUUCCUCAAAGGGCUCAAAGAAUUUCAUGUCUCCAACCAUUUCUGCUUCCUGCAACAUCAAUGAGUCUCCCUGAAAGAAAGUCC
This 629-nucleotide long non-coding RNA is filed under the name Vigna radiata. RNAcentral's name for it is "long non-coding RNA (VRAD_LNC015534)". Lineage: Eukaryota; Viridiplantae; Streptophyta; Magnoliopsida; Fabales; Fabaceae. The record is from RNAcentral.